This 265-nucleotide long non-coding RNA is filed under the name Gallus gallus (chicken). The record is from RNAcentral. Lineage: Eukaryota; Metazoa; Chordata; Aves; Galliformes; Phasianidae.
CCUCUGCUGACAGUGAAGAGGUCAUGCUAAAUCAAACUGACGGAGAAACUGGACAUCAGCUUAGCCAGGAUGCCCAAAUUAAUACUACUGAAACAAAAGACAUAUGCCAGUCCAACAAAACUUAGUAUUUGUGAAACUAAGGUGACAAGGGAGGAACAUGGAAGAGCUGGCAAUAAAACUCACCUUUCAAGGAUCAAAACGGAAGACAUAACUUCUGAGAUAUUCUCCAUCUCUAGUGGCUAAUUUGAAUAUCCUAGGUUUUGAC